This 1440-nucleotide ribosomal RNA is filed under the name Lactiplantibacillus plantarum. RNAcentral describes it as "bacterial SSU rRNA". It matches the Rfam family "Bacterial small subunit ribosomal RNA". Lineage: Bacteria; Bacillati; Bacillota; Bacilli; Lactobacillales; Lactobacillaceae. The record is from RNAcentral.
GCUCAGGACGAACGCUGGCGGCGUGCCUAAUACAUGCAAGUCGAACGAACUCUGGUAUUGAUUGGUGCUUGCAUCAUGAUUUACAUUUGAGUGAGUGGCGAACUGGUGAGUAACACGUGGGAAACCUGCCCAGAAGCGGGGGAUAACACCUGGAAACAGAUGCUAAUACCGCAUAACAACUUGGACCGCAUGGUCCGAGCUUGAAAGAUGGCUUCGGCUAUCACUUUUGGAUGGUCCCGCGGCGUAUUAGCUAGAUGGUGGGGUAACGGCUCACCAUGGCAAUGAUACGUAGCCGACCUGAGAGGGUAAUCGGCCACAUUGGGACUGAGACACGGCCCAAACUCCUACGGGAGGCAGCAGUAGGGAAUCUUCCACAAUGGACGAAAGUCUGAUGGAGCAACGCCGCGUGAGUGAAGAAGGGUUUCGGCUCGUAAAACUCUGUUGUUAAAGAAGAACAUAUCUGAGAGUAACUGUUCAGGUAUUGACGGUAUUUAACCAGAAAGCCACGGCUAACUACGUGCCAGCAGCCGCGGUAAUACGUAGGUGGCAAGCGUUGUCCGGAUUUAUUGGGCGUAAAGCGAGCGCAGGCGGUUUUUUAAGUCUGAUGUGAAAGCCUUCGGCUCAACCGAAGAAGUGCAUCGGAAACUGGGAAACUUGAGUGCAGAAGAGGACAGUGGAACUCCAUGUGUAGCGGUGAAAUGCGUAGAUAUAUGGAAGAACACCAGUGGCGAAGGCGGCUGUCUGGUCUGUAACUGACGCUGAGGCUCGAAAGUAUGGGUAGCAAACAGGAUUAGAUACCCUGGUAGUCCAUACCGUAAACGAUGAAUGCUAAGUGUUGGAGGGUUUCCGCCCUUCAGUGCUGCAGCUAACGCAUUAAGCAUUCCGCCUGGGGAGUACGGCCGCAAGGCUGAAACUCAAAGGAAUUGACGGGGGCCCGCACAAGCGGUGGAGCAUGUGGUUUAAUUCGAAGCUACGCGAAGAACCUUACCAGGUCUUGACAUACUAUGCAAAUCUAAGAGAUUAGACGUUCCCUUCGGGGACAUGGAUACAGGUGGUGCAUGGUUGUCGUCAGCUCGUGUCGUGAGAUGUUGGGUUAAGUCCCGCAACGAGCGCAACCCUUAUUAUCAGUUGCCAGCAUUAAGUUGGGCACUCUGGUGAGACUGCCGGUGACAAACCGGAGGAAGGUGGGGAUGACGUCAAAUCAUCAUGCCCCUUAUGACCUGGGCUACACACGUGCUACAAUGGAUGGUACAACGAGUUGCGAACUCGCGAGAGUAAGCUAAUCUCUUAAAGCCAUUCUCAGUUCGGAUUGUAGGCUGCAACUCGCCUACAUGAAGUCGGAAUCGCUAGUAAUCGCGGAUCAGCAUGCCGCGGUGAAUACGUUCCCGGGCCUUGUACACACCGCCCGUCACACCAUGAGAGUUUGUAACACCCAAAGUC